RNAcentral lists this ribosomal RNA (482 nucleotides) under uncultured bacterium. Its description in RNAcentral is "bacterial SSU rRNA". It matches the Rfam family "Bacterial small subunit ribosomal RNA", at positions 30 to 507 of the family's 1533-position model. The record is from RNAcentral.
UUGAACGCUGGCGGAAUGUCUUUACACAUGCAAGUCGAACGGUAGAGGGGCAACCCUCGAGAGUGGCGAACGGGUGAGUAAUAUAUCGGAACGUGCCCAGUCGGUGGGGGAUAACGUAGCGAAAGUUUACGCUAAUACCGCAUACGAUCUACGGAUGAAAGCGGGGGACUCGCAAGAGCCUCGCGCGAUUGGAGCGGCCGAUAUCAGAUUAGGUAGUUGGUGGGGUAAAGGCUCACCAAGCCAACGAUCUGUAGCUGGUCUGAGAGGACGACCAGCCACACUGGAACUGAGACACGGUCCAGACUCCUACGGGAGGCAGCAGUGGGGAAUUUUGGACAAUGGACGAAAGUCUGAUCCAGCCAUUCCGCGUGCAGGAUGAAGGCCCUCGGGUUGUAAACUGCUUUUGUACGGAACGAAAAGGUCUCUAUUAAUACUAGGGGCUCAUGACGGUACCGUAAGAAUAAGCACCGGCUAACUACGUG